CUGAACGGUUCGCUGAUCAGCAGCAGACCUUCCCUCCCAGACCCUCCCACCUCCUCGACAGCUCACUAAGAAUGCAGCUUCAAAAUGGAUGGUGUCCAGGAGUUGGGAGGGUCUGGGAGGGAGGGUCUGCUGUUGAUUGGCUGGAAUGUGUC
Molecule: microRNA precursor, 152 nt
Filed under: Pelobates cultripes (western spadefoot toad)
Lineage: Eukaryota; Metazoa; Chordata; Amphibia; Anura; Pelobatidae
Source: RNAcentral